AUAAUUCUGUUUUGAAUUUUUCUGUCAAGUGGUCCUUUUCCCUCAGUUUUCCUAUUAUAUAAUUCUUCAUCAGAUCAAAGUCACUGGGUUCUUUUUCUAUUAAUUAACUCAUUGAGUCUGAGCCAGUGUCCAGGGACAGUUUGCCGCCGGGGCCCCAGAUUCCUAAGUUCCAGUCUCGGCAGUUUGCUUUUGCCUCUUGACGUACAUGGUGUGUGGAUCUGGUAACCAAGACACUAUUCUCCCUGUUCAUUUGUUCAGUGGGAAUGGUGUGUUGUAAAGGAUUAAGAUAUUUCCUCUGUCCCCACCUCCAUUUUUUCCUGCCACUGUAAAAAGGUAGACGUGUAUAGGAAGGUCAGGACUUGCCCAGGAUUUCAUCUCUUGUUUUUUUGUGAGUCAAAAAUAUAUUUUUUGAAGAAUAAGUAGAAGUGUAUAUUAGGAAUGUGGAGCCAGAAGGGGCCAGUUACAGCUGGGGCAGAGGGCUCUCUGUGGCUGGUGGGUAGCAGAAGUCCAUGGGGAUUUUCUUCCGUGACUGUGAUGCACCUGGUACUGGCAAGGCAACUGUGUCUUUUUAUAUUGUUUGGGAUUUAAAAAUGAAUCAAAGCUGAUAGUUAAUGGUAUUCAAGAAGUCUUUGGGGGUGAUUUUCUGCUUUUAGAAAGGGGGAAAACAUUUUGAGCAUCUUUGGCUUUAGUGUGACCUCUGACUCAAGCAUCCUGUUACCUUUAUAUGUUAGGCAGUGUUACCCCAGUUGUCUUAAACUGUGGUAUCUGAGGAUAAGUGUUUACAGUAUUCUUUUUC
This 796-nucleotide long non-coding RNA is filed under the name Bos taurus (domestic cattle). RNAcentral describes it as "long non-coding RNA NONBTAT005978". The record is from RNAcentral. Lineage: Eukaryota; Metazoa; Chordata; Mammalia; Artiodactyla; Bovidae.